AUGUGGACUUUUCUCUUCCAAGGACAAUGUUGGACUGACGACAUAUUUUCUCAUCACGGUUCGCCCCGCAAAACUCCUCGUGCAUCCUCUGUGAUCAAGAGACAGAGUGUAUGCAACACUUGCUCAGUGGUUGCUCCUUCUCUCGCCAAGUUUGGCACGAGAUCCUCUCCUGGUGUAGGCUCACGACAACCCACCCCUCCGUCGACGUCCCCUUCCUCGACUGGUGGGUGGCCUCCUUCCUCGAUGUGCAAGGGAUUCACCUCUAUCGUCUCCCUCAAUGAAUGGUGGCUUUGGAAACAGUGCAAUGACUGCACUUUUGACGGUCUCUGUUCCUCCAUCACUAGCGUCACUGAAACCAUCCACGACGAGGCAACAAACAAAAAUGCUCCCCGUCCAUCUGUUCGCCGUGCCGGCAACUGCCACUCCGUCAUCGCUCGCCGCCGCAGCCGCCGACCCAUCCGGUCCGGCGGGCCUUCUCCUCUCCGCCAACCGUGUGGGUCCGCUCUAAGUAAUCCCGACUCGCGGCGAUCGUACGGCUGGCUGCCAGCCGCGCCCACCUCCACAUCCACGGCGCGCGGCAGGUGUUCGACGGAAUGCCAGCGACGCUUACAAUUGACAGCACAUAGAUGCCCGUGGCUGGCAUUUGGUCCAGGCAUCCCAAAACAAGUUGCUGUUAUCUGUAAAGGUAUAGUGCAAUAA
Molecule: ribosomal RNA, 699 nt
Filed under: Triticum aestivum (bread wheat)
Lineage: Eukaryota; Viridiplantae; Streptophyta; Magnoliopsida; Poales; Poaceae
Description: partial small subunit ribosomal RNA
Source: RNAcentral